Molecule: ribosomal RNA, 483 nt
Filed under: uncultured bacterium
Lineage: Bacteria
Description: partial 16S ribosomal RNA
Rfam family: Bacterial small subunit ribosomal RNA
Source: RNAcentral
UUGAACGCUGGCGGCAGGCCUAACACAUGCAAGUCGAGCGGAUGAAGGGAGCUUGCUCCUGGAUUCAGCGGCGGACGGGUGAGUAAUGCCUAGGAAUCUGCCUGGUAGUGGGGGAUAACGUCCGGAAACGGGCGCUAAUACCGCAUACGUCCUGAGGGAGAAAGUGGGGGAUCUUCGGACCUCACGCUAUCAGAUGAGCCUAGGUCGGAUUAGCUAGUUGGUGGGGUAAAGGCCUACCAAGGCGACGAUCCGUAACUGGUCUGAGAGGAUGAUCAGUCACACUGGAACUGAGACACGGUCCAGACUCCUACGGGAGGCAGUAGUGGGGAAUAUUGGACAAUGGGCGAAAGCCUGAUCCAGCCAUGCCGCGUGUGUGAAGAAGGUCUUCGGAUUGUAAAGCACUUUAAGUUGGGAGGAAGGGCAGUAAGUUAAUACCUUGCUGUUUUGACGUUACCAACAGAAUAAGCACCGGCUAACUUCGUG